AGUGCGCAGGCGUCAGACGCUCAGGGCCUGCGAGAGCGAGCUGAGUGGUCCCAGGGUCUACCCCUGGCAGGAGAGAGGGUGGGACCCGCCGGCCAGGCAGGUGCGGGGGAGGAGCUGGGGCCGGUGCGGGGACCCGCCGGAACCUCGGAUUUGCAGAGGACCCUGUGUGUGCCCUCCCAGGCCCUUGGGGUGUGUGUGACAAUGGGAGAUGCCAGGUGGACUGAGAGUCUUUCCGUGGCCGGGUGUGUAUGGUUGUGUUUCUGCCUGUGUGUGAUUCUUCCUGCUGUGGGGUGUGAGGUGAUUUGUACUUUAAGCUGCGUAGUAAUGGGAUUUUAUAACUGUGUAGAAUCGUCUAACAGAGUAAGACGAUUUUACACAGAUCUCUAUUGUGGUUUGCUUAUGAAGGGUAUCUGUAUGUAUAUCUGCUUUUUUGUGUGUGGCCGUAAUUGAGUAACUGGUGAUCUGUGUUAUAUAAACGUGCUUUCUUUGUGCUUGUAUUUCAGUGUCUGUAAGGGUGCCAAGAGCAAAUGAGCUGUGUGUGAUCGUGUGUGACAGUGAAAAUACUAUGGCCAAGUUAUUUCUUCCUUAAAUAGUAAUGUAAUAAUCUGGAAAAGAUAAUCAAUUUAUCUGACAAGUAAUUUAGACAUCAUUUUUCUAUUGGAUCAAAUAUAUGUGUUAUCGGGAAGAAUCCAAAAUUAACGUAGUUUUUUCUUUGUUUUUAGAAAGAUUAUUUCAAAACCAGUCCUAGGGUAACUGCCUUUUCCUCUGCCACAGCAGGCCAAAAGUAGAUAUCCAUUAUUUUCUAAUUAGAGGGUAAAGUUUCUCUUAUUACUGGGUACGGUUGAGAGGCCAUCAACUAAUAAAAUAAUAAAACAACGUUAUACAUAAGAAGAGUGAAUUUUAGCACAGUACAGCACUAGUCAGAUUUCCCAAAUUCUAGGUCAAACACUUGUCCUCAUUUUCUGAUGAGAAAACCUUGGCCGGCAGAAAGUAACUUAAGGCUGUAGAGUUUGUUGGUAAACCUGAACUUAUUUUUACUUACUUCAAGACCUCUUGGCCUUUUAUGAUUUUUGAAUAAUCAAAAACUUGUGAACUUCCAGCACAGAGAAGAUAGAGUAUAAUUUCACCACUCCUUCAGAGGGAAAAAAAUUAAUAAAACUUGGUCUUGCAAGACCAUAUAUCAAAUACAUUGAUCUCUUACCGGUAAUGUGACUGGAAUAGCAAAUUUGGUGAUCAGAAUUCUUGAGGGAAUGAACCUGUGUGUGUGAUCAGGCAUAGCUAUGUGAAAUAUAGAUAAUUAAAUUGCACUGAGUUAGAGUGGGUCAAAGUCAGGCAAGAAUUAUGUCCAAUUCACAUGCACACGUAUGUUUAUUGCGGCACUAUUCACGAUAGCAAAGACUUGGAACCAACCCAAAUGUCCAUCAAUGAUAGACUGGAUUAAGAAAAUGUGGCACAUAUACAUCAUGGAAUACUAUGCAGCCAUAAAAAAGGAUGAGUUCAUGUCCUUUAUAGGGACAUGGAUAAAGCUGGAAACCAUCAUUCUUAGCAAACUAUCGCAAGGACAGAAAACCAAACACCACAUGUUCUCACUCAUAGGUGGGAAUUGAACAAUGAGAACACUUGGACACAGGGUAAGGAACAUCACACACUGGGGCCUGUCAGGGAGUGGGGGUAGGGGGAGGGGUAGCAUUAGGAGAUAUAUCUAAUGUAAAUGAUGAGUUAACAGGUGCAGCACACCAACAUGGCACAUGUAUACAUAUGUAACAAACCUGCACGUUGUGCACAUGUACCCUAGAACUUAAAGUAUAAUAAAUAAAUAAAAAUAAAAAUAAAAAAGAAUUAUGUCCAAUUAUAUAUGGGAGAUAUAUACUGGGUUUUGUUUUUUUUUUUAGGAGGUGACAGACACAUUCUGGUUUCAAAUUGAACAGCAUGCAUUGAUCUUGAGCCGCAUCUGUGUGAUUCUGGGUCACUACUUUUGGCUUUUGAAUAGUUACGAUGAGUGCUUGCAAGAAAAAGGAAGCUAUCACUUAAAAGUAAAAAACAGUUGUUCACCUGAGAUGAAUAGAUUCCAUGUGGAUGGGCUUCUUGUAUAUUAAACUUAUGACAUUUUAUAUGUGUUGAUAUGUGAUUUUUUUAAAAAAAGUAUAGGCAGCUUUUCAGAUUCACAAAGAGGUACUUUAAGCUAAAAAAGGUUAAGACCAUCAGAAACGUAGACUGCAGGAACUGAGAAGGAUUUGUUAGAAUACUAUGUGAUAUAAUUAGUAUAAAAAUAGUAUAUAUUUUAUAGAGGGAUACACACAAAACUCCUGCUAAUGGUAACCUUUAGGGAGAGAAGAGAGGAUUUAGGGUAAAGGGGGAGAAGUAAAUGUCAAAGGGAACUUAAGCAUUAUAGGUCAUUUCUCUCCCUCUCUCUCUGUUUUUGUUUGUUUGUUUGUUUUUGUUUUUGUUUUUGUUUUGAGACAGAGUCUCACUCUGUCGCCCGGGCUGGAGUGCAGUGGUGCGCUCUCAGCUCACUGCAACCUCCGCUUCCCGGGUUCAAGUGAUUCUCCUGCCUCAGCCUCCCGAGUAGCUGGGAUUACAGGCGCCUGCCACUACGCCCAGCUAAUUUUUUGUAUUUUUAGUGGAGACAGGGUUUCACCAUUUUAGCCAGGCUGGUCUCGAACUCCUGACCUCGUGAUUUGCCCACCUUGGCCUCCCAAAGUGCUGGGAUGACAGACGUGAGCUACCGCGCCCGGCCUCUCUCUCUCUUUUAGCAAGGUAGCAUCACUCAUAUAUUUAAAAUUUAAUUUUAAAAUAUAAAAGUCAAUAGAGACGUUGGUUUUGGAGCAAGGAAGUGAGCCAAGGAACCUAAACUGUGGAAGCAGACAAAAUCCAGAAAAACUUACACCUUAGGAAGACUGCAGAGAGAAGGGAAUAGUAAGGCAACAAGUUUUCAUAGGCCUGAGGUGUCUUGUUUGUUUAUGAAAUGCCAGUUUCAUAUUUAUGUCCUUAUAACCCAUUUUGACCUUGCUGACCUUUAAGGAUUAGUUAUCUCUUCAGCCCAGUUACUGGAUUCAGCUCCGUUAUAGUGUCUGACCCUGGACAGCAUUGGUAAGUAUGUUCUCUUUCCUGGCACUGGAUUAUUUUCUUUGAGAGUCUUUGUUGAUGUUGGCAAAUGAUUUUGAACUUCUUCCAACAGAUUAGGUUUAUGCCAGUACGUAUGAGUCUAGCAUUUAAUCAGCAAUCCCAAAAAAGUAUCUGAGGCACUCUGAUAUAAUUACUUUUCCCUAAGUGUUUAUUUUGAAAAAUGUUAAAGCUACAGGAAAAUUAAAAGAAUAAUGAUUUGCACUGUGUAUCCUUUACUUAGAUUCACCAGUUUUUAACAUUUUGGACCAUUUGCUUAAUCUCUGUCUGCAUGUAUUUACAUAUUUUUGUUUAUUUUUUGUUCACCAUUUAUGGGUAAGCUGCAGAUAUUAUAUAUUUCACCAUUGAGGAUUUCAGCACGCAUCUCGAAGAACAAGGUUGUUCUCCUGCAUAACCUCGAUAUCAUGAAUAUACAUAUAAAUUUUAACAAUGAUUCAUAAUAUUAUCUAAUAUAUAGUCCACAUUUAAAUUGCCCUAGUGUUUCCCAAAUGUCUGAUAUGUGUAUUUAAAAUAUCCAUCCUGGUCCCAAUUAAGGUCACACAUUACAGUAGGUGGGCCUAUCUUUUUAAUUUCUUUAAUCUAGAACAGCAUUCCCCCAGCCUGUUUUUGUAUUUCAUGACAUUUUUUAAGAGUUGAAGGGUCCAGAAUAUUUGUCUUGUAGAAUGCCUAACAUUCUGGAUUUGUUUGAUUGCUCUGUCAUAAUUAGGUUAAGUUUAAAUAUAUUUGGCAAGAAAACUAUGAAUGCUGGUGUGUUCUUCCUAUUGCAUCAUAUUAAGUGACACAUAAUUUCAGUUUGAUCCAUUACCAAUGAUACUAAA
RNAcentral lists this long non-coding RNA (3941 nucleotides) under Homo sapiens (human). RNAcentral's name for it is "non-protein coding lnc-ZNF585A-4:5". The record is from RNAcentral. Lineage: Eukaryota; Metazoa; Chordata; Mammalia; Primates; Hominidae.